CUUUACCUGGGUGGGUUUAUAGAAACUCUUUGUAACAACUGAGGAUUGUCUGAGGCAUUGCAAUCUCUUGUCUUCCUGAACCUCCUAAGCCAUGUCUAUAUAUGAGAGAGCAAAAGUUUUAUUUUUAAGAGACAGGGUCUUGCUCUGUGGCCCAGGCUGGGGUGCAGUGGUGCGAUCAUAGGUCACUACAGCUUGAAACUCUUGGUCUCAAGAGAUCGUUCUCCCUUAGCCUCCGGAAUAGGUAGGACUACAAGUACGUGCCGCCAUGCCUAGCUAAUUUUAGUAGAGAUGGAGUCUCACUGUGUUGCUCAGGCUGGUCUUGAACUCCAGGCCUCAAACAAUUCUCCUGUCCUUGUCUUCCCGAAGUGCUGAAAUAAAAGGCAUGUGCCACUGCACGUGGCAGUUUUUCUUUUUGACUUAAUCUGGUUUUGCAGCAGUUUUGAGAGACAUUGAGUUUGUGAAUUAGCAUUUAAAGGCUUUAAUAUUCCUACUAGAGUUUUGUUUACUGAGUGAUUUAAGAAACAAUGUGUAUUAUUGAUAGAAUCUUAAAGUGAUUUGGAGGUGAAAUGCGUCGUGGUUUGUAGUGACUUUGAAACACUAUUCAGUAGGUUCACAUGGUUUAACAGGCAUCAUUAUGGCUUUUGUGUGUUUUGGUGUGUGUGACUGUGAAGCCUCAGGAAUUUAGUUUAAGCUUCUGAAAAGCCCACCAAUAAGGAUUUAGAAUUCUCUUGUCCCACAUCUUAGUCAUCUCAACGUUUCUCAUUUCUAACUUUAAAACAUGUCAAUUUAAAAAAUUCAGUAUAUCAUUAAUUUCAUCUAAAUCUCUCAUAAAUCUCUGAUAAAAUUUUGUUUUUAAACAAUAACCAAUAAUUUGGUUUUAUUUAUGUGAUGAGAAUAACAACUGGUAUUUAUUGUCUAUACUUAUGCAAUUUUAUAGAUGGAGUUUUAACAUUGAAUGCGGAGAACACUAAUUAUGCCUAUCAAGUUCCAAACUUCCAUAAAUGUGAAAUCUGUCUACUAUCUUUUCCAAAAGAAUCCCAGUUUCAACGCCACAUGAGGGAUCACGAGCGAAAUGACAAGCCACAUCGAUGUGACCAGUGCCCCCAAACAUUUAAUGUUGAAUUCAACCUGACACUUCAUAAAUGCACUCACAGCGGGGAAGAUCCUACCUGCCCUGUGUGUAACAAGAAAUUCUCCAGAGUGGCUAGUCUCAAAGCGCAUAUUAUGCUACAUGAAAAGGAAGAGAAUCUCAUCUGUUCUGAGUGUGGGGAUGAGUUUACUCUGCAGAGUCAGCUGGCCGUGCACAUGGAGGAGCACCGCCAGGAGAUGGCUGGAACCCGGCAGCAUGCCUGCAAGGCCUGCAAGAAAGAAUUCGAGACCUCCUCAGAGCUGAAGGAACACAUGAAGACUCAUUACAAAAUUAGGGUAUCAAGUACAAGGUCUUAUAACCGGAAUAUCGACAGAAGUGGAUUCACAUAUUCAUGUCCGCACUGUGGAAAGACGUUUCAAAAGCCAAGCCAGUUAACGCGACACAUUAGGAUACACACAGGUGAAAGGCCGUUUAAAUGUAGUGAAUGUGGAAAAGCUUUUAACCAGAAGGGGGCACUGCAGACCCACAUGAUCAAGCACACAGGUGAAAAGCCCCACGCCUGUGCCUUCUGUCCUGCUGCCUUCUCUCAGAAAGGGAAUCUUCAUUCGCACGUGCAGCGAGUCCACUCAGAGGUCAAGAGUGGUCCUACCUAUAACUGUAGAGAAUGUAGUUGUGUAUUUAAGAGUUUAGGCAGCUUAAACACGCAUAUCAGCAAGAUGCAUAUGGGUGGGCCACAGAAUUCCACAAGUUCCACAGAGACUGCUCAUGUUUUAACGGCCACACUCUUUCAGACGUUACCUCUUCAACAGACAGAAGCCCAAGCCACGUCAGCCUCAAGCCAGCCAAGCUCCCAGGCAGUGAGCGACGUCAUCCAGCAGCUCCUGGAGCUCUCAGAGCCGGGGCCGGUGGAGUCAGGGCAGUCCCCGCAGCCUGGGCAGCAGCUGAGCAUCACAGUGGGCAUCAGCCAGGACAUUUUACAGCAAGCCUUAGAAAACAGUGGGCUGUCUUCAAUUCCAGUUGCAGCACAUCCUAAUGACUCCAGCCAUGCCAAGACCUCUGCACCACAGGUUCAAAACCCAGAUGUUUCCAGCGUUUCAAAUGAGCAGAUGGACCCUACAGACGCAGAGCAAGAAAAAGAACAGGAAAGCCCGGAGAAACUGGAUAAAAAAGAAAAAAAAAUGAUAAAGAAGAAAUCACCAUUUCUACCUGGCUCCAUCCGUGAGGAGAACGGCGUGCGCUGGCACGUGUGUCCCUACUGCACCAAGGAGUUCCGCAAGCCCAGCGACCUGGUGCGCCACAUCCGCAUCCACACCCACGAGAAGCCCUUCAAGUGCCCACAGUGCUUCCGCGCCUUCGCGGUGAAGAGCACGCUGACAGCCCACAUUAAGACGCACACCGGCAUCAAGGCGUUCAAGUGCCAGUACUGCAUGAAGAGCUUCUCCACCUCGGGCAGCCUCAAGGUGCACAUCCGCCUGCACACAGGAGUUAGACCUUUUGCUUGUCCUCACUGUGACAAAAAAUUUCGAACCUCGGGCCAUAGGAAGACUCACAUUGCUUCCCACUUUAAACAUACGGAAUUAAGGAAAAUGAGGCACCAGCGUAAACCUGCAAAGGUUCGUGUUGGCAAGACGAACGUUCCAGUCCCUGAUAUUCCUUUGCAGGAACCAAUUCUCAUAACUGACUUAGGUCUUAUCCAGCCCAUUCCAAAAAACCAGUUUUUCCAAAGCUAUUUUAAUAAUAAUUUUGUUAAUGAAGCAGAUAGACCAUACAAGUGUUUUUACUGUCAUCGUGCAUAUAAAAAAUCUUGCCACCUUAAACAACACAUCAGAUCCCAUACAGGUGAAAAACCUUUUAAAUGUUCUCAGUGUGGAAGAGGCUUUGUUUCUGCAGGUGUGCUCAAAGCACACAUCCGAACACACACAGGACUGAAAUCUUUCAAGUGUCUGAUAUGUAAUGGGGCUUUCACUACUGGUGGCAGCUUACGGCGACACAUGGGCAUCCACAACGACCUUCGUCCCUAUAUGUGUCCCUAUUGUCAAAAAACAUUUAAGACUUCACUAAAUUGCAAAAAGCACAUGAAAACCCACAGAUACGAACUUGCCCAGCAGCUCCAACAGCAUCAGCAGGCAGCCUCGAUAGACGAUAGCACGGUGGACCAGCAGAGCAUGCAGGCCUCCACUCAGAUGCAGGUGGAGAUCGAGAGCAACGAGCUGCCGCAGACGGCAGAGGUGGUCGCAGCAAACCCCGAGGCCAUGCUGGACCUGGAGCCUCAGCACGUGGUGGGCACAGAGGAAGCAGGGCUGGACCAGCAGUUGACAGAUCAGCCCUUGGAAGCAGAUGAAGAUGGGUUUGUGGCUCCACAGGACCCUCUGCAAGGGCACAUAGACCAGUUUGAAGAGCAGACCCCUGCCCAACAGUCCUUUGAACCGGCAGGGCUACCCCAAGGUUUUACAGUGACUGACACGUACCAUCAGCAGCCUCAGUUUCCACCUGUCCAACAGCUACAGGAUUCCAGCACACUUGAGUCUCAGGCCCUCUCCACAAGCUUUCACCAGCAGAGCUUGCUGCAGGCUCCCAGCUCUGAUGGGAUGAAUGUAACAACUCGCUUGAUUCAGGAGUCAUCCCAAGAGGAACUGGACCUGCAGGCACAAGGUUCCCAGUUUCUGGAGGACAGCGAGGACCAGAGCAGGCGCUCUUACAGGUGUGACUAUUGCAACAAAGGCUUUAAGAAGUCCAGUCACCUAAAGCAGCACGUGCGGUCGCACACCGGGGAGAAGCCCUACAAGUGCAAACUCUGUGGACGUGGCUUUGUUUCCUCCGGGGUGCUCAAGUCUCACGAGAAGACACACACAGGAGUGAAGGCGUUCAGCUGCAGCGUGUGCAACGCUUCCUUCACUACCAAUGGCAGCCUCACCCGGCACAUGGCCACACAUAUGAGCAUGAAGCCUUAUAAGUGUCCGUUUUGUGAAGAGGGUUUCCGAACUACAGUGCAUUGUAAAAAGCACAUGAAGAGACACCAAGCAGUCCCCUCUGCUGUGUCAGCCACUGGAGAGACAGAAGGAGGAGACAUUUGUAUGGAGGAGGAGGAAGAACAUUCUGACAGAAAUGCAUCACGGAAGUCUCGUCCUGAGGUCAUCACUUUCACAGAGGAGGAGACAGCCCAGUUAGCCAAGAUCCGGCCUCAGGAGAGUGCCACGGUGUCAGAGAAGGUCCUGGUGCAGUCCGCGGCAGAAAAGGACCGCAUCAGCGAGCUGAGGGACAAGCAGGCGGAGCUGCAGGACGAGCCCAAGCAUGCCAACUGCUGCACAUACUGCCCCAAGAGCUUCAAGAAGCCCAGCGACCUGGUGAGGCAUGUUCGAAUCCAUACUGGAGAAAAGCCAUACAAAUGUGAUGAAUGUGGAAAGAGUUUUACUGUGAAAUCCACUCUCGAUUGCCAUGUGAAGACUCACACAGGUCAGAAGCUCUUCAGCUGUCACGUCUGCAGCAACGCCUUCUCCACGAAGGGAAGUCUGAAGGUCCACAUGCGUCUGCACACGGGAGCCAAACCCUUCAAAUGCCCGCACUGCGAGCUGCGUUUCCGUACCUCGGGUAGAAGGAAGACACACAUGCAGUUUCAUUAUAAACCAGACCCAAAGAAGGCCAGAAAGCCUGUGACUCGAAGCUCGUCGGAAGAAUUGCAGCCCGUAAACCUCCUCAACUCCUCCUCUACUGACUCUAAUGUGUUUAUCAUGAACAACUCUGUUGUAACAGGACAGCUUGAUCAGAAUCUGCUGCAACCAGGACUGGUGGGCCAAGCUAUUCUCCCUGCCUCCGUGUCAGCUGGGGGUGACCUGACUGUGUCUCUGACAGAUGGGAGCCUGGCUACCCUAGAAGGCAUCCAGUUACAGUUGGCCGCUAACUUGGUUGGACCAAAUGUACAGAUUUCUGGAAUCGAUGCUGCCAGCAUUAAUAACAUUACGUUGCAGAUUGAUCCGAGCAUUCUGCAGCAGACGCUACAGCAGGGCAACCUGUUGGCUCAGCAGCUCACAGGGGAGCCUGGCCUGGCCUCACAGAAUGGCUCUCUCCAGACGUCGGACAGCACAGUCCCUGCCAGUGUUGUCAUCCAGCCCAUCUCAGGCCUGUCCUUACAGCCCACAGUGACCUCUGCAAACCUGACCAUAGGCCCACUGUCUGAGCAGGAUUCAGUGCUGACCACUAAUAGCAGUGGGACCCAAGACCUCACUCAAGUGAUGACUUCGCAAGAUCUGGUGUCCCCCUCCGGCGGUCCCCACGAGAUCACCUUGACCAUCAACAACUCCAGCCUGAGCCAGGUCCUAGCACAGGCCGCUGGGCCCACUGCCACAUCUUCCUCGGAGUCUCCACAGGAAAUUACCCUGACUAUCUCCGAACUUAACACUACAAGCGGAAGCCUUCCUUCAACAACACCGAUGUCUCCAUCGGCCAUCUCGACUCAGAACCUGGUCAUGUCCUCGUCGGGUGUGGGAGGUGACGCUAGUGUCACGCUGACGCUGGCCGAUACUCAGGGUAUGCUGUCUGGAGGCCUGGACACUGUCACACUCAACAUCACCUCUCAGGGUCAGCAGUUCCCAGCACUCCUCACGGAUCCCUGCCUCUCGGGCCAGGGUGGAGCAGGCUCGCCGCAAGUCAUACUAGUGAGCCACACGCCACAGUCAGCGUCUGCUGCUGGUGAAGAAAUAGCCUACGAGGUAGCUGGUGUCUCUGGGAACCUGGCCCCGGGCAGCCAGCCCGAGAAGGAGAGCCAGGCACACCAGUGCCUGGAGUGUGACCGCGCCUUCUCGUCGGCGGCAGUGCUGAUGCACCACAGCAAGGAGGUGCACGGCCGGGAGCGCAUCCACGGCUGCCCCGUGUGCAGGAAGGCCUUCAAGCGCGCCACGCACCUCAAGGAGCACAUGCAGACACACCAGGCCGGCCCCUCUUUGAGCUCCCAGAAGCCAAGAGUGUUUAAAUGUGACACUUGUGAGAAGGCGUUUGCCAAACCAAGCCAGCUGGAGCGCCACAGCCGCAUCCACACAGGGGAGCGGCCAUUCCAUUGCACGCUUUGUGAGAAAGCCUUCAACCAGAAGAGCGCGCUGCAGGUGCACAUGAAGAAGCACACAGGGGAGCGGCCCUACAAGUGUGCCUACUGCGUCAUGGGCUUCACGCAGAAGAGCAACAUGAAGCUGCACAUGAAGCGGGCGCACAGCUAUGCUGGAGCUCUGCAGGAGUCCUCAGGUCACCCAGAGCAGGACGGGGAGGAGCUGAGCCAGACCCUCCACCUGGAGGAGGUGGUGCAGGAGGCCGCGGAGACUCAUAGGAAAAAAACUGGGAAAAGUGUCACCGCGUUGUUCUCUUUUGUCUACAAAUCACUGAACUCAGGUACUACGGUGGGCAGUUUCCUCCUUGUCUCCUCCGUGGCUAGUGCGUCUAGUUCACAAAGCAAUUAACUGGGUCUUACUAUCAUUGUAGUGUGAUUUCUUUGUAUUAGCAAAGACGAAAAAGCUAACAUGGAAAAAGUACGUCAGAUUUUCCUUCAUGCUUCCGGUUAUAAGAAGCAUAGCUUGAAAGCAAGUUUAAGAUUGGGGCAUGAAGUUCCGAAAAAAAAUGUUACAACACACAGGGAAGUUUUUUCCACUCUUUUCUCUGUGCAUUUUGAAAAUUAGUCAAAAUGGACUCUUUUUAGUCUACCGUAAGUUAAUAUACCUGAUACCUUGAGAGAUGGCUGGACCAAUUCUCUCUCCAUGACAAAUGUUUAAUCAUUAGUUACAAGAAUGCAGUGUCUGGGGGGCAUCAACACGGGGACUCAAGUAAACCUGACCCACCAAUAAGGAUUCAGCUGUCCACACGGGCUGGUGACACACUUACCGCAUCAUUCUGUGUUCAGGUCCAGGGUUAGAUAAUUGCAGAAGCACAAGCCAUACAUCGCAGGUAGGAAACCACAGAACCGUCUGCCAGGAGCAAGCAACCGUGGCCCUGUGUACCCCAGCAAAUAAGAAGUAUAUCUGUAGCUUAAGGCCAAGAAUCCGUAAAAACCCCAUGACUUUCUCUUCGUGCAUAAGCAGAUGUAUUUUUGAUUUCAGGGAAUUCUUUAGUAUCGUCAAUGGUGCCACAUUAAACAUGUCCCAAACCAAAUCCACCCGCGCUGGUCAGAGUGCGUGCACGCCAUUCCUACAGCAUUCCAAAGACGGAAGGUUCUCUACUUCAUGUUCAUUUGUCCUUUGAAAUUAUUUAUAUGUUCUAUAUAUAAAUACAUAUGUACAUAGACAGAUAUAUGGGCCUCUGUGUGGCUGAACAGUAUAUUUUGUAAAUAUAAGUACUAGUCCUAAUUGCAGAAAGAGCGUCUGAGUUUCACCUCCCCACAAGCACUUCAGAUCAGUAUUGUAUUCAUUUUAUUAAUAAAUGGAUAUCUUUUUCAUUGUAAUAUAAAGCUGGGUUUUAUUUUUUUUCCUGAAAAAUAAUUGCCUUUAUUUUCUCUCAUUGCCUCCUUGGUUUCAGAAGAGAGUAGUUUCAUUAUAAAUAUUGUAUGGACUUUGUAUAUUAAGAGAGGAGCUCAUUUCAGAUUCCUAAAGAAAUAGACAUUUUACUGUUAUUUUGAAAGGGCAUCUUUUGAUUUUGUUGUUGUUCACUUUUGGCGUAUGUAUAUAAGUAAUACUGAUGGUGAUAUGAAAACUUUUGUUAUGUGAAAAUAUUUAAGUCAGAAAAUUGUUAAAUAAUAUUACUUCUUUUCCAAACUGCUUUGUGUAUUGUAUAUUUUUUUAAGAAAAAGAAAAGCCUUAUUUGACUUAUUCUUGUGAUACUGGACUUCUUACCAAUCCCGAGGUUUCCUUCCUUGAAUGUCAGUGUGUAAACCUGACGCAUAUUUAGAAUAAUUGUAAUUGUGCUAGAGUUUUAAAGGUUCUGCUUUUAAUGCACUUUUUAUUUUAUAAUUUUGUAUUGAAAUAUUUUAGAAAUGUUGAUUAAUUUUGGUGAACGAAUAUCCCCAAAGUUGAAAUUAUUGGAAUUUUAAACUUUUGUUCUUGCUCGGUUAUUUAUUUUGAUUUUAGCAUUAAAUGUCAUCUCAGGACAUCUUUAAAAGGGGUUAAUUCCUAAUUGUAUAGAAAGCUAGUUUGGUGAAUUGUAUUGGUUAAUUGACUAUUUAAGGCCUUAACAGGUGAAUCUAGAGCCUACUUUUAUUUUGGUUAAAGAAAAAGAAAAUAUCAAUAAUUCAAUUUUGUGUCUUUUCUCAAUUUAUUAGCAGUCAAACACAAGACAUUUUAUGUAUUAUUUUGAUUUACUUCCUAAUUAUAAAAAGCUGCUUUUUUGCAGAACAUUCCUUGAAAAUACAAGAUUUUGAAAAGACAUCAUUUUACUUGAAUCUUUGUGGGGUACAGGUUGAUCUUUAUAUUUUACUUGUUGUUUUAAAAAUUCUAGAAAAGAGAUUUCUAGCCUCAUGUAUAACCAGGGUUUUGAGAAUAAAGACUGUAUUUUUAGAACUAUCUCAUCAUAGCAUAUCUGCUUUGGAAUAAUUAUAAAUAAAAGAUGAAGUUAGGAAAUGUGAUUUUUUUCGUUUGAAAAUAAGAUUAAAUAGUUUGGCAUGUAAAUUAAUUUCAAGUUCAGAUUUUUAAGAGAAAACUUUAGUGGUAUUUUCCUCUACCUCUGUGAAGUUCAGAGGCGUCUACUCCUGCAGUGUCCACUGGAGAGGCUUCAGACUUUAAAAAUCAGGGCAUGGCUCUGCGACCGCCAGUCGUGGGCGUCAGCACAGUGCCCCGUGCAUGUGCCAGAACUGUUCCUGUUCCCUUUCAUUUCCUGCUGUAUUCAACAGCACCCAGUCAUGGAGGAACCUUUUGAGAGUUCCUAAGUGUUUUGAUCCCGCUUGUGUGCUCCAGUAACCAUGGAGCACUGGAGCUGAAAGAAUGAACUGCCUGUGCAAAGAUACCGAACGUGAAGCUGGGGUGCAGGUACCGAGGAAGCAGGAGGCAGGUAGCUGGUAUGGAGUCCCACCUGCUAGAUAAUGCCCGAGCGGCUGCGUUUCCGUAGAACGGCAAUAGAUGAAAAUGAGGAAAUGUUUUCAAACAUGCAGAUUCAAAUGCUGCCCUACCCCAGCAAGCUCUGCUUUUGCCCCUUUUAAAAACUUGAGGCGCUUAGAAAGUAUCUAAAUAGAAGACAUCCUACGACAUGACAUCUGCCGGCUUGCAGCCAGGCCAGCGGGAGGCUCCUCGAACGCUGCUCUCCUCUCCCUGACAGGGUUCUGCUGGUGGGACAUGAAACCUCUGUGCUUGUCCGGCACUUAACUAGGGGAUGUUUCUUUCAUGCAUAUUUUCCACUCCCCCAUUGUAAUGUUUUAAGGAAACUUGAAUUUUGAAAUUAUAGCUAGUGUUCUGUGUCUUCCUUUGAACUCUUAUAUCACAUUUAUUACAAGAGACGCAUGUGUUAGCACAGGUACAAGAUUUUUCAAAGUAGAAGUGGAUUUCUGUUCUUGCUGUGGGUUUUCCUCAUUUUAGAAGAAUAUUUGUAACUCGUUAAGAUACACGUUUUAACAUGAAAUGACCAUCACACAGAUUUAUGUUUGGAAAUAUUCAAGAUAAAAUAGUUUGGCAUGUAAAUCAAUUUCAAGAUUUAUGUGCAUAAGAUUUUUUAAGGAAAUAGAUAAGAUAUAUAGAACUCCUUUUACUGUAUAUUAAGGCUAUCUCAUUCCUACUUCUUACAUUUUUUUCUGAAGCUUAUUUCAAAAUUAAUACCGUGCCCUUCCCUCACUAAAAAAAGUUAAUCCAAGGGUUGAUCAUUGCGAAUUUAUCCCUUUUCCAAGACCUACUGCACAGGAAGUAAGUGAGGCGGGGAUGAGAUCAUGCAAUGGAUCCUUCUGACGGAAGAGUUCUCUUUGUGUCACCUAAUCUGUGUUCACGUAACUUAGGCACUUUGGAUUUUUUAGAAUACAAUUUCAAAAGGCCUGUACCCAUAACCCAAUUUAAUGUUGUGUCUCUCCUUGGGGCCUCCACGUCUUUCCCGUAUGCUGAUGAAAGACCAUAUGCCAAAGGCCACUGAGCAUCGUCAUUGUGGAGAAAGUGGGAACCACAGAGCUUUCCAGGGUCGGACGCCCACACAUUCCUAGCAGAGACGCGUUCUUCGUCAUGGUGUGGCUCGCCAGCGACACGGCCUGUGUGGUGGCUGGCCCUCUCCGAACGGAUUCCCCUCCUCAGACCCCCAUGCACGGAUGAGCACACACUCGCCCUCCCUCCACAGAGGCAUCGUGGCAGUUCUUUCUAUGGAUGACUAACAACUCAGGUACUAAAAACUGAAGAUCGGUAUGAGUGGCAGGAGCAAUAGGCAGUCAGAAGAGAUUUUUCUAUUUAAUCUUUUACGUGUAACACUUUUUACAGCAUGAAGACUUUUGUAUUCAAUCAAGAUUUGUAUCAUAAUUGACAAAUUCUAAAGUGACAGGGAUUCGUUCUUGAUUCACCACUAAAGAAAAUUUUAACGUUAAUUUUCUUAUUUACAGAAGAAUUCUCUUUUUAUCUUCACAAUUGUUUCAUGAUCUGUUUAUACAUUGGAUGAUAUUUAUUUAAUCCAGUUUUGUAUUAGAAAUGGAUAGUGAUGCCAAAAGCCACUGUGCUGGCUUUAAAAAUAAUAAAAAUAGCUUUUGUAUUAUUUUAAAACUCCUGUAUAUUUUACUUCUUUGAGUUUUGCGUGAGUUAUCACUGUUGAAAGGUGGACGCUUCCUCUAGGUCACGUUUGCCAUGGCUUAACACAAUAGAGCAAUGCUGAAUUGGCAACAUAUUCAAGCCCAGGGCAUUUAAAUCCUGGAGGAUGUCCCAGGUUCCUGCUCUCUGCUUUCUCUCUUGUUUGAAAGCUAUUAAAGAGUGACUUGACAUGCAGUGCACAUCCGUCAUAAUAUCAGUGUCUGUUCAUGAGAGGUGCCAGAUUCUGGACUUCCCAGAAGCACCCAUGGAGUUAUUGUAUAUCAUCGGGCUCUUUGUAAAGAUAUAUUCAUCUAGUUUACUAUGCCUUACAUUUCCAAACUGUUAGAGAAGUUUGUAAUUGAGAGUCAUCAUCCUGGUGAAACAACAAAUUACAAUAUAUGUUUUCUUGGAUCACCUUAUUCCUGGCACUGAGUAAGGACUCCAGAUAUUUUUGGACUGAAAAAAUUGAAGUGAUGUUGACUUCCUGAAUGUGGCUAAGAUGGAAUGGUGAAUGUUACCCAGAGGCUGGACUCCCUGUGAUAGCGAAUAGAGUGCUGUCCCUUAAGCACAGGCAGAGGCUUGUACCUGCAAGUGUGCUGUGUGCUCCCCGCGCUGCGAGGCAGGCGUGCGUGCAGGCGUCCACUGGCCCACUUUGCAUCACGCUUCAGGACUGGGGCCUCAGAUGUUCAAACAAAUGCUGACCUUCUUGCUACUGCCGUUACUUUCCACAGACCCUCAUGACGCCUCCAGCCUCUACUGACCGUGGUCCUGGCAACCUGUGCAGGCCAUGGGGAAGGUCCUGACAGCCUGCGCGGAUGGUGGAAGGGCGUCUGCGUCCACGAGGCUGGGGCUCCGGCAGCCCCUUCUCUUGGCUCCCAGCCUGAGAAAAAGGUGGCAAGGGGAAAUCGUCCAAGACUCCCGGGAUCCAUCUGCAGGGUGUGUACACUAGCAACACAGCAGAACACAGAGAGACUUGGAAGCUUGUCUUCAGAGACACUAAGUAUAUUUUUCCUGGUGAGAGAAUCAGUGCCCUACAACUACCUCUGUUCCACUUUCUUCAGUAGCCAUAGACCCCCCCCUGAAGAGGACACCCCCUCCAACAGGCACCGCCAGGCAGCCCUGCCUCGAGACCCAGAGGCACCGAGUCACAUCAGCUCUGCAGCUCUGCAGACCUGGCUCUCGCUUGAUGUAGGCCUGUAUGCUCCAGCCCAGAACACAAAAGAAGACAUCCAUGCAAAUACCAUUAAAAGUUUAUUGUUUUAUUUCAAUAUUCAGGAACAGUGUACACUUUCCAUUCAGCCAUCGUCACAGCACGUGCUGUUUGGUGCGGCCACGUAUGGAUGGCAGAGCCGACCUCAGCUCAGCCACACAGAGUGUUUCUGCUGAAAAAUUUGGGGGUUUGUGUCUGGAGUUUUGUUCUUUGUAACCCUCUCAUCUUCGAGGCUAUAUAUUAAUAGACAUGAUAUUAAGCCCACAUGAAACAUUCAGAAUUAGAGUGGGAUUAAGAAGACGCGUUUUGGCAUCACGCUGACUACUUCUCGUCUUCAUCCUCGGGGAGGGUGAUGCCAGCGUGGGGCUCUUUGGAAGGCCUAUCACGGGUGCGCUAAAAUCAAAAGGUGGGUCAGUAGGUUAGGGAGGGAGGAGCAAAAGGAGAUGUCAGCAGGUGUUAGGAAGGAUGUGGUCAGAAGAGCUCUUCUCUGUCUCCACAGGGCCGUCUGCUCAGCCCGUGUGUCUCGGUGAGUAAUUCGGGAGCAGGUGCACGCCUGUGCCUACUCGCUACGACGCGUCUUCUGGGAGGAGAUGGAUGAGCCGGUUAUCUUCUCAGGGAGGGUUAGUGCUGGCCACUGUGCACUGCCGCUGCCUGCACGCCCCGUCGCCGUCACAGCCAGUGUCUAAGGGUGACUGGCGCGGCUGCGAGGCUGUCCAGAGGACUCCUACCCUUGUGCUCUGAGUGCGCAAGUCUUCCUGGACUCUCCAGCUGUGGGCUCUGGUUUGGAAACGAGGUUGUUCAUAGAGGCUGCUCUGGGGCCACCAUGCAAGGCAGCAGUGACGUCCAGAGGCCACCUGCUUGACAUCUCCAUCACCAAAUCUCCAGGAAGACCCUGUCUCCUGUGUGAGGCCAUUGCCCAGCCCACAUUUGCCUCCUUUUCCUCCCUCUGCCACACGCGAAUUCAGCUAAUUGGGGUGUGUGGGCAGCCACGACCUGGGGGCAUGCCCCGCUCUCUGUGCUGCCCCACGUUGGACUCUAACAGCUGCCCAGCCCGCAUGUCACAUACCAAAAGCUCCCACAUGUAGUAAGCCACUCCUUGACUGUCUAAUCCUGUUAGGAAAAAUGAAGUCUACUUUAGGAGGUGAGAGAAGGACAG
This is an RNA transcript of Piliocolobus tephrosceles (Ugandan red Colobus), 13109 nucleotides long. It is a transcript of the gene named zinc finger protein 236, with no coding region annotated. The record is from RefSeq and is a predicted model, not a curated record. Lineage: Eukaryota; Metazoa; Chordata; Mammalia; Primates; Cercopithecidae. The transcript is spliced from 34 exons.